GUAAAUCCGGUUCACUUUAACACUGAGGCGUGACGACGAGGCACUACGGUGCUGAAGCAACAAAUGCCCUGCUUCCAGGAAAAGCCUCUAAGCAUCAGGUAACAUCAAAUCGUACCCCAAACCGACACAGGUGGUCAGGUAGAGAAUACCAAGGCGCUUGAGAGAACUCGGGUGAAGGAACUAGGCAAAAUGGUGCCGUAACUUCGGGAGAAGGCACGCUGACACGUAGGUGAAGUGAUUUACUCAUGGAGCUGAAGUCAGUCGAAGAUACCAGCUGGCUGCAACUGUUUAUUAAAAACACAGCACUGUGCAAACACGAAAGUGGACGUAUACGGUGUGACGCCUGCCCGGUGCCGGAAGGUUAAUUGAUGGGGUCAGCGCAAGCGAAGCUCCUGAUCGAAGCCCCGGUAAACGGCGGCCGUAACUAUAACGGUCCUAAGGUAGCGAAAUUCCUUGUCGGGUAAGUUCCGACCUGCACGAAUGGCGUAAUGAUGGCCAGGCUGUCUCCACCCGAGACUCAGUGAAAUUGAACUCGCUGUGAAGAUGCAGUGUACCCGCGGCAAGACGGAAAGACCCCGUGAACCUUUACUAUAGCUUGACACUGAACAUUGAGCCUUGAUGUGUAGGAUAGGUGGGAGGCUUUGAAGUGUGGACGCCAGUCUGCAUGGAGCCGACCUUGAAAUACCACCCUUUAAUGUUUGAUGUUCUAACGUGGACCCGUUACCCGGGUUGCGGACAGUGUCUGGUGGGUAGUUUGACUGGGGCGGUCUCCUCCUAAAGAGUAACGGAGGAGCACGAAGGUUGGCUAAUCCUGGUCGGACAUCAGGAGGUUAGUGCAAUGGCAUAAGCCAGCUUGACUGCGAGCGUGACGGCGCGAGCAGGUGCGAAAGCAGGUCAUAGUGAUCCGGUGGUUCUGAAUGGAAGGGCCAUCGCUCAACGGAUAAAAGGUACUCCGGGGAUAACAGGCUGAUACCGCCCAAGAGUUCAUAUCGACGGCGGUGUUUGGCACCUCGAUGUCGGCUCAUCACAUCCUGGGGCUGAAGUAGGUCCCAAGGGUAUGGCUGUUCGCCAUUUAAAGUGGUACGCGAGCUGGGUUUAGAACGUCGUGAGACAGUUCGGUCCCUAUCUGCCGUGGGCGCUGGAGAACUGAGGGGGGCUGCUCCUAGUACGAGAGGACCGGAGUGGACGCAUCACUGGUGUUCGGGUUGUCAUGCCAAUGGCACUGCCCGGUAGCUAAAUGCGGAAGAGAUAAGUGCUGAAAGCAUCUAAGCACGAAACUUGCCCCGAGAUGAGUUCUCCCUGAGACUUAGAGUCUCCUGAAGGAACGUUGAAGACGACGACGUUGAUAGGCCGGGUGUGUA
RNAcentral lists this ribosomal RNA (1361 nucleotides) under Salmonella enterica subsp. enterica serovar Enteritidis. Its description in RNAcentral is "partial 23S ribosomal RNA". It matches the Rfam family "Bacterial large subunit ribosomal RNA", at positions 1536 to 2871 of the family's 2925-position model. Lineage: Bacteria; Pseudomonadati; Pseudomonadota; Gammaproteobacteria; Enterobacterales; Enterobacteriaceae. The record is from RNAcentral.